Molecule: ribosomal RNA, 253 nt
Filed under: uncultured bacterium
Lineage: Bacteria
Description: partial 16S ribosomal RNA
Rfam family: Bacterial small subunit ribosomal RNA
Source: RNAcentral
UACGUAGGGUGCGAGCGUUGUCCGGAAUUAUUGGGCGUAAAGGGCUCGUAGGCGGUUUGUCGCGUCGGGAGUGAAAACUCAGGGCUUAACCCUGAGCCUGCUUCCGAUACGGGCAGACUAGAGGUAUGCAGGGGAGAACGGAAUUCCUGGUGUAGCGGUGAAAUGCGCAGAUAUCGGGAGGAACACCGGUGGCGAAGGCGGUUCUCUGGGCCUUACCUGACGCUGAGGAGCGAAAGCGUGGGGAGCGAACAGG